This 704-nucleotide ribosomal RNA is filed under the name Streptomyces bottropensis. RNAcentral describes it as "bacterial SSU rRNA". It matches the Rfam family "Bacterial small subunit ribosomal RNA", at positions 253 to 970 of the family's 1533-position model. The record is from RNAcentral. Lineage: Bacteria; Bacillati; Actinomycetota; Actinomycetes; Kitasatosporales; Streptomycetaceae.
UGAGGUAAUGGCUCACCAAGGCGACGACGGGUAGCCGGCCUGAGAGGGCGACCGGCCACACUGGGACUGAGACACGGCCCAGACUCCUACGGGAGGCAGCAGUGGGGAAUAUUGCACAAUGGGCGAAAGCCUGAUGCAGCGACGCCGCGUGAGGGAUGACGGCCUUCGGGUUGUAAACCUCUUUCAGCAGGGAAGAAGCGAAAGUGACGGUACCUGCAGAAGAAGCGCCGGCUAACUACGUGCCAGCAGCCGCGGUAAUACGUAGGGCGCGAGCGUUGUCCGGAAUUAUUGGGCGUAAAGAGCUCGUAGGCGGUCUGUCGCGUCGGAUGUGAAAGCCCGGGGCUUAACCCCGGGUCUGCAUUCGAUACGGGCAGACUAGAGUGUGGUAGGGGAGAUCGGAAUUCCUGGUGUAGCGGUGAAAUGCGCAGAUAUCAGGAGGAACACCGGUGGCGAAGGCGGAUCUCUGGGCCAUUACUGACGCUGAGGAGCGAAAGCGUGGGGAGCGAACAGGAUUAGAUACCCUGGUAGUCCACGCCGUAAACGGUGGGAACUAGGUGUUGGCGACAUUCCACGUCGUCGGUGCCGCAGCUAACGCAUUAAGUUCCCCGCCUGGGGAGUACGGCCGCAAGGCUAAAACUCAAAGGAAUUGACGGGGCCCGCACAAGCAGCGAAGCAUGUGCUUAAUUCGACGCACGCGAAGAACU